Molecule: long non-coding RNA, 388 nt
Filed under: Triticum aestivum (bread wheat)
Lineage: Eukaryota; Viridiplantae; Streptophyta; Magnoliopsida; Poales; Poaceae
Description: long non-coding RNA (TAES_LNC002727)
Source: RNAcentral
UGCCCAAUGCUCAAAAGGACAAAAGUGAUGGUUUUAAUUAAAUUCCAGAUAGGCAACAAGACAAAAAAACACAUUGGUACCAAUUGAUGGAUCUCCUUUGAUCAUACAUAAGUGAGAAUUAAGUUCACAACUAAGACUCUAGCGAUACAAGAGAUGGCAUUUGUCGCCGCAAACUCAGCCACCACCAUCUUACUCUGCCUCAGCUUCACCACUCUUCUUAUUGCCCUUCCUUGAGUAACACAAGUUCCUCGGGUCCAUCUAAGAGCACACAAAACAUAUCAUUAAUAGAAAUACAAAUGGCCACGAUAAAACCUGUCAAAUAGGCACACAAUCGGCUCACCAAGUUCAGGAGGAGUCAGGAGAAAAAAAUGCUCACCUUAGACUUCAA